GGUUGAUCCUGCCAGUAGUUAUAUGCUUGUUUCAAAGAUUAAGCCAUGCAAGUCAAAGUUUAAGCAACACUAAACGGUGAAACUGCGAAUGGCUCAUUAUAUCGAGCCCAACAUACACUAUGCUUGUACGAUUGUACCGCUGGAUAACCGUGGUAAUUCUAGGGCUAAUACACGAGGCGGGCAACUUGUUGCCCGUGGCGCUUAUUAGAUACACAACUAACCUUUGGCUAGUGACAGAUGAUAAUCGGCAAGGCGGCGCUCACGCGCUGCGACUUAGUUGUGAGGCUCGCC
RNAcentral lists this ribosomal RNA (291 nucleotides) under uncultured eukaryote. RNAcentral's name for it is "partial 18S ribosomal RNA". It matches the Rfam family "Eukaryotic small subunit ribosomal RNA", at positions 6 to 311 of the family's 1831-position model. The record is from RNAcentral.